Molecule: ribosomal RNA, 198 nt
Filed under: uncultured bacterium
Lineage: Bacteria
Description: partial 16S ribosomal RNA
Rfam family: Bacterial small subunit ribosomal RNA
Source: RNAcentral
ACGCUCGACACCUACGGGAGGCAGCAGUUGGGAAUAUUGGACAAUGGAGGAAACUCUGAUCCAGUGACGCCGCGUGAAGGAAGAAGGUCUUCGGAUUGUAAACUUAUUUUGUCAGGGAAGAAAAAUGACUGUACCUGAAGAAAAAGCACCGGCUAACUACGUGCCACAGCCGCGGUAAUCUGAGCGGGNUGGCAAGGC